Molecule: ribosomal RNA, 304 nt
Filed under: uncultured bacterium
Lineage: Bacteria
Description: partial 16S ribosomal RNA
Rfam family: Bacterial small subunit ribosomal RNA
Source: RNAcentral
CAGCAGCAGCCGCGGGAAUACGAAGGGGGCUAGCGUUGUUCGGAAUUACUGGGCGUAAAGCGCACGUAGGCGGAUAUUUAAGUCAGGGGUGAAAUCCCAGAGCUCAACUCUGGAACUGCCUUUGAUACUGGGUAUCUUGAGUAUGGAAGAGGUGAGUGGAAUUCCGAGUGUAGAGGUGAAAUUCGUAGAUAUUCGGAGGAACACCAGUGGCGAAGGCGGCUCACUGGUCCAUUACUGACGCUGAGGUGCGAAAGCGUGGGGAGCAAACAGGAUUAGAUACCCCCGUAGUCCCUGUCUCUUAUAC